UGUACUUUUACAGAUAUUUCUCCAAAUUAGCUUUAAGUGAGUAGAAUUCUCUCUCAUCAAUAUGUGAUGAUCUUAAUAGGAAUAUGUGGUCAGAAUCCAGUACAAUAAACAAAAAAAUCGCAAAAUCAACAUUUAAAAUGUCAGCAGCUUCUUACUGCUACACACAUCUUUGCAUUACUCGUGAUUAAAACUGGCAUGUGUAUUAGCAGGAAUUUUCUGUCUCAUUUUUAAUUCCUCUGUUUAUUUAUAAUCUAGAAGAAAUACUUCUUUUGGGGACUUACUUUUAUCUCCAAUGCUCUUUGAUACCCCACACCAUUGAUUUUAGAAAAUAUUUGGAAUAGUUGUUUACUAUAAUAAGUGAUUUUGAAAAGAUAUUAAAAUGUAGUGGAAAGAUCAUUUCCAUUUGUUUUCUUUGUCUGUGUGGGCUGGUGUGUAUAAAUGUUGCAUGAAUAUUAAUAAAUGUCUAUUCACAUUAAUGUUUUUGUGGGCUACAAACCUUUAAAAUGCUUCUAUCCUGAGAUACAUGCUCAGCAUAUGAUGAAUGAUAUACCAUUUAUUUAGUUCCCAGUGUCUAGGAAAGAUUAUAAAGCCUCACACAGACUCAGCCCUAUAAGAAGGGCUUCAGCAUGUACUAUGGCCAAUCAUUUAUUUACUCUAAUGUAUGGUGAAGUUAUUGAGGAAAAAAAUCUCAGAUAUAACACAUAGAUUUCCACACGCCAAUAAAAGGGAAUAAAAGAGAGGGUAACUAUGGUAAGUGGAAAGAGUAAAUGUUCUAAAGAAAUAUUCUUACUGUUUGCUGGGGAUCUGGUGUCCUUUUUAAUUAUAUUAAUCUGUAGUUAGCCCUAGAUGUUGAAACACAGCUUUCUCCUAUUUGAUUUGCUUAGAAAUCUCCUUUGGAAGAACUACCACACCACUGCUACUAUAUAACUGUACUAUAGCUCACUAAUGUCCUUGGUGUGUUUGCACAGUUAAAAGUUAUGUAUAUUUCAGGUAAUGGAAGGCAACCCAAUAUGUCUGGUUAAGAAGCCACUUCCUCAGGAUGUGGAGCUAUGAAUUCACUGGAAUAGGAGAGCAAUCAGAAUCAAACACCUAGAAAAUAAGACUGCAGAAUUGGAGUAAUGCAACAAGAGCAAAUGACUUAUGGUGGUUGAGGGAAGUCUUACUGGAGUCAAAAGUCUGAGAAAAAUGAAUGCAUGCAUUGGCCAAGAAGCAGUCAAGUAUUAAAGGACCUCAUCUAGGAAAAACAAUCUUCCAGAUUGUGAGCUACACUAUGGAGAGACCCAUGUGACAAGGAACUGAUAAUUCUGUCUGAUAGCCAGUGAGGACCUGGGGUAUGAUAGCAGCCAUCUGAGUGAAGCUGGAAGUGCAUUUUUGAGACUUCCCAAAUAGACUGAGCUUGGAAAUAGAUUCUUCUCCAGUUGAGCCUCGAGUUGACUGCAGUCCCUGCCAAUACCUUGGUUGUAGCCUUGUAGGAUACCUUGAAUCAAAGGUAUCCAGCUAAGCUGUGCCCAGAUUUCUGACCUACAGAAAUGUCCUUAAGGUGUGAUGUGAAUGCUUCUGGUGGUGAUGGAAGACAUUGGCCAUGCUCCUCCACCUCCAGAGAAUUGAGAAGCCUGGGAAUUGCUUAAAUGCACAUGGAAAUGAUAAAACCACAUGCAGUAGAAAAAGACAGCGAAGACACAGGAAAAGAUGACAGUCCAAGCCAGUGUAGACUUUACGGAGAUCAUAUGAGAGAAGGUAAGAGAGAGCUACAGAGUGUGUUGUCUAGAAUAUACAUGGCAGGGCCUUGAUUGGUCACUGAUGCGUGGGGGGUGUGGAAGCCCAGAGAUAUUCAAACUUUUAAAAUUCUCUUUGACCACACUCCCAGAGAAGCAUAUGUGCAUGGGGUUUUCAGGGCUAGGCUGUCACAGCACUUCAUGUAAAGCUGUAUCUUUUCUGUCACAUAGUCAGUAAAGAGUAGGUAGAACGAGAGGUGGGCAUUUGGGGCCAGACUGAGAGAAUUUAUUCAGUCAGAGAACAUGUAGAUACAUAUAUAUCUGAGUACAAUAUAAGGCCUUUGGCUUUACACCUACAGUUAAGAUUUAAAGGACAGAGUUAACCAAAGGAUAUCAGGCUCCCAGAUAGAGGCUCCCUGCUGUGUCCUUCUACUGCACAGAAAACCAGAUUAUGAGUCUGCUCAUCAGAUUGUAUACUAUGCAAGCUCAGGGAUAGUAUAGUUUUCUCUACGUCUAGAGAUGAAAGUCUCCAAGUCCUGGGUCCACUUUCCUAGACUCUAGGUUUUUUGGUUUCUUCAAUAUCAGAAUACAGCCAAAAGGUUGUGUUAUGGCUUAUUUCUCAUGUCUUCGGUGCCAAGGGUUUUGUUUCUCUGUUGAAUUCAGAGCAGUGCAAUGACAGUGUAAGAAGAGUCUUCUAACAGAGUGCCCAGUGACAGCCCAGUGGGGGCUCAGGGACUUUUGAAAAUAGUUUGCCAGUGUUCUGGGAGGUAACUGAGAAGACAAAAAAAUGGGAGAUCACAGUGGAUAGAGGACUCAAGGUCAGGAGAAGCAUAUUUCCCUCCCUACCAUUGACCUGCCUCCUUUAAUAAUUUGCACUUCACAUUGGGUGUUAUUUAUGUCAUCAAAUACUGACAGUUCAAUUAUUAAUAAAUGUUUAGAUCAUAUCAGUAUAAUUGUGAAGUGAGGUAGAUCAUAAAUUUGCUAUCUUCAUCCCUUUAUAUUUUGAGGUAUAUAUAGGAUGCUGCAGUUGAUCACAAGGAAACACAGAUGAUUAAAAUAAACUUCCUGAAGUCUGAAAUAAAAGGGAAGGAAAUAGAGAUUUGCCUUCUGACAUGAUAGUAGGAUAAUAAAGGUAUGGAAAGGGUGCAGAGAAGGAGUGCUUGUGGGGGCAAGAGAAGCCGUCCUAGGACAGGUGAACAUUCCUUACAGAAAAAUUCACCUGUGUAAAUUUUAAGGUCCUAUUGGCUUUAUUCAGCAAUUUGCAAGUCAAGCAAUAUCCAAUCUAGUACAUAGAAUGGUGCUCCAAGGAGUUGUCCAAGGAGACAGAUUUUUACAGAAUGAAGUGAGCAGGCACAAGGAAGUUCUACUGGACAUUUGCUGAUUGGGUAAAGCAGGGUUACUUUCCAUUUAUGGAGCAAAGGACUGUCUUGGAGUUGGUCAGGUAGCUUGUUCUCAGUGGGCAAGUGGUUGACCUAGGCCUUCCUUUUCUGGGAGAGCCCAGCGGUUAAAUUUUGGUUUGCUGAUGUAAGGGCUGAGCAUGAGUGACUCCAUGUUGGCUCUAAUCUGGCCACUUUAGCAUGUUAAAUGGUCUUGAAUAGCUUCUAGCUCUUGGAAAAGCAGGGGAAUGUGAAAGAGCACGAAGCAAGUAGGCAAAUGUUUUACUACUGCUAUUGUAGUGGAUAUGGAUGGUGAAAGAGUCUGAGAUAUGUCAGGAGAGGCAGUUAGAAGCCAGACCCCGUUGUGCUGUAUGCUCCCUGCUGAGUGUCCCAAAAGACAAUGGAGGCGUUAGUGAUAUUCUUACAGACGUUGAAGAUAUUCUUGAUAGAAGUAGGAUGAUCAAAAUUGUAUUUUUUUGUAGAUGAAAACUGUCAAAAGGAAUUGUUCAAGUACAAUUUUAAAUGGUAUCAGUUUCAUGAAUUAGGCAGACCUUCUUCCUCCACUUUUUUUCUUUUUCGUUUUGUAAGGUCUGUUGUGAUUAUUCAGAUGUAGAUAAUUCCCACACCUUUUCACUCCCUGUCCACUCUAUCCCUCACCUGUGAGAUAAUAGGUGAUAGUGGUUUAAUGGGAGUUAGAAAAGUAAAACCGAGCAGUGGAUUUGUUUGUAAAAGUUUAUUUAAUAUUACUAUGUU
Molecule: long non-coding RNA, 3844 nt
Organism: Acinonyx jubatus (cheetah)
Lineage: Eukaryota; Metazoa; Chordata; Mammalia; Carnivora; Felidae
Exons: 4
Source: RefSeq, a predicted model, not a curated record